RNAcentral lists this ribosomal RNA (301 nucleotides) under uncultured bacterium. RNAcentral describes it as "partial 16S ribosomal RNA". It matches the Rfam family "Bacterial small subunit ribosomal RNA", at positions 509 to 807 of the family's 1533-position model. The record is from RNAcentral.
CAGUAGCCACGGGAAUACGAAGGGGGCUAGCGUUGCUCGGAAUUACUGGGCGUAAAGGGAGCGUAGGCGGACAUUUAAGUCAGGGGUGAAAUCCCAGAGCUCAACUCUGGAACUGCCUUUGAUACUGGGUGUCCUGAGUGUGAUAGAGGUAUGUGGAACUCCGAGUGUAGAGGUGAAAUUCGUAGAUAUUCGGAAGAACACCAGUGGCGAAGGCGACAUACUGGAUCAUUACUGACGCUGAGGCUCGAAAGCGUGGGGAGCGAACAGGAUUAGAUACCCCCGUAGUCCCUGUCUCUUAUAC